GGUGUGGCGGGGUCAGGAGCUGGUCACCAGCAGAGAGCCCCUGGCGAUGCUCCAUCCAGCCUUGGGCCUGCUGCACGCCAGCCCCACGGGCCUGCUCCUGACGGUGCUGGUGGCCCUCACCUACAUAGUGGCCCUCCUAUACGAAGAGCCCUUCACCGCUGAGAUCUACCGGCAGAAAGCCUCCGGGUCCCACAAGAGGAGCUGAUUGAGCUGCAACAGCUUUGCUGAAGGCCUGGCCAGCCUCCUGGCCUGCCCCAAGUGGCAGGCCCUGCGCAGGGCGAGAAUGGUGCCUGCUGCUCAGGGCUCGCCCCCGGCGUGGGCUGCUCCAGUGCCUUGGAACCUGCUGCCUUGGGGACCCUGGACGUGCCGACAUAUGGCCAUUGAGCUCCAACCCACACAUUCCCAUUCACCAAUAAAGGCACCCUGACCC
RNAcentral lists this small RNA (430 nucleotides) under Pan troglodytes (chimpanzee). Its description in RNAcentral is "processed transcript". The record is from RNAcentral. Lineage: Eukaryota; Metazoa; Chordata; Mammalia; Primates; Hominidae.